CGGGACGGGUGAGUAAUGUCUGGGAAACUGCUGAUGGAGGGGGAUAACUACUGGAAACGGUAGCUAAUACCGCAUAACGUCGCAAGACCAAAGAGGGGGACCUUAGGGCCUCUUGCCAUCGGAUGUGCCCAGAUGGGAUUAGCUAGUAGGUGGGGUAACGGCUCACCUAGGCGACGAUCCCUAGCUGGUCUGAGAGGAUGACCAGCCACACUGGAACUGAGACACGGUCCAG
This 232-nucleotide ribosomal RNA is filed under the name uncultured bacterium. RNAcentral's name for it is "partial 16S ribosomal RNA". It matches the Rfam family "Bacterial small subunit ribosomal RNA", at positions 100 to 334 of the family's 1533-position model. The record is from RNAcentral.